GAUGAAGAACGUAGCGAAAUGCGAUACGUAGUGUGAAUUGCAGAAUUCAGUGAAUCAUCGAAUCUUUGAACGCACAUUGCACCUCUCGGUAUUCCGGGAGGUAUGCCUGUUCGAGCGUCAUUUGUACCCUCAAGCUCUGCUUGGUGUUGGGUGUUUGUUCCGCCUCUGUGUGUGAACUCGCCUCAAAACAAUUGGCAGCCGGCGUACUUGUUUCGGAGCGCAGCACAUUUUGCGAUCCAGAUCAACGUACAGCGGCAUCCAAGAAGCCUUAUUUAACGCGCUUGACCUCGGAUCAGGUAGGGAUACCCGCUGAACUUAAGCGUAUCAAUAAGCGGAGGA
This 339-nucleotide unclassified non-coding RNA is filed under the name soil metagenome. RNAcentral describes it as "partial contains 5.8S ribosomal RNA, internal transcribed spacer 2, and large subunit ribosomal RNA". The stretch from base 1 to 120 matches the Rfam family "5.8S ribosomal RNA", at positions 35 to 154 of the family's 154-position model. The record is from RNAcentral.